RNAcentral lists this non-coding RNA (250 nucleotides) under Fictibacillus macauensis. Its description in RNAcentral is "T-box sequence". It matches the Rfam family "T-box leader". From Rfam's summary of the family: Uncharged tRNA acts as the effector for transcription antitermination of genes in the T-box leader family. T-boxes are found upstream of many aminoacyl-tRNA synthetase genes and some amino acid biosynthetic genes usually in Gram-positive bacteria. The record is from RNAcentral. Lineage: Bacteria; Bacillati; Bacillota; Bacilli; Caryophanales; Fictibacillaceae.
ACACAUUCAAUGACGAGAAAGAGUAAAUAGACAGCCUGAUCUAUAGAGAGUUGACGAAUGGUGAAAGUCAACGUUCAGCGUGUAUUGAAAAUCCUCUCCGAGAAGCAAAGCCUAAUGUUAACUAAGCUUUGCCGGGAUUCCGCUGUUACAAGGAACACGUAUGAUAGUACGUGUAUGAGCGCUAGACGAUCUUGCACAAGGGAGAUCGCUAGAAUUUGGGUGGUAUCGUGGGUAAUAACUCGUCCCUAAC